UACAGAGGGGGCCAGCGUUAUUCGGAAUUAUUGGGCGUAAAGGGCGCGUAGGCGGCUUUGCGUGUCUUUCGUGAAAUCCCUCGGCUCAACUGAGGACGUGCGGAAGAAACUGCAGGGCUGGAGUCCGGGAGAGGAGGGUGGAAUUCCCAGUGUAGCGGUGAAAUGCGUAGAUAUUGGGAGGAACACCCGUGGCGAAGGCGGCUCUCUGGGACGGUACUGACGCUGAGACGCGAAAGCGUGGGGAGCGAACAGG
RNAcentral lists this ribosomal RNA (253 nucleotides) under uncultured bacterium. Its description in RNAcentral is "partial 16S ribosomal RNA". It matches the Rfam family "Bacterial small subunit ribosomal RNA", at positions 524 to 776 of the family's 1533-position model. The record is from RNAcentral.